GACGAACGCUGGCGGCGUGCUUAACACAUGCAAGUCGAACGGAAAGGCCCUGCUUUUGUGGGGUGCUCGAGUGGCGAACGGGUGAGUAACACGUGAGUAACCUGCCCUUGACUUUGGGAUAACUUCAGGAAACUGGGGCUAAUACCGGAUAGGAGCUCCUGCUGCAUGGUGGGGGUUGGAAAGUUUCGGCGGUUGGGGAUGGACUCGCGGCUUAUCAGCUUGUUGGUGGGGUAGUGGCUUACCAAGGCUUUGACGGGUAGCCGGCCUGAGAGGGUGACCGGGGACAUUGGGACUAAGAUACGGACCAGACUCCUACGGGAGGCAGCAGUGGGGAAUCUUGCACAAUGGGCGGAAGCCUGAUGCAGCAACGCCGCGUGCGGGAUGACGGCCUUCGGGUUGUAAACCGCUUUCGCCUGUGACGAAGAGUGCGUGACGGUAAUGGGUAAAGAAGCCCCGGCUAACUACGUG
RNAcentral lists this ribosomal RNA (468 nucleotides) under uncultured bacterium. Its description in RNAcentral is "partial 16S ribosomal RNA". It matches the Rfam family "Bacterial small subunit ribosomal RNA", at positions 28 to 507 of the family's 1533-position model. The record is from RNAcentral.